This 865-nucleotide ribosomal RNA is filed under the name uncultured bacterium. RNAcentral describes it as "bacterial SSU rRNA". It matches the Rfam family "Bacterial small subunit ribosomal RNA", at positions 505 to 1356 of the family's 1533-position model. The record is from RNAcentral.
GUGCCAGCAGCCGCGGUAAUACCCGAUUGGUGCAAGCGUUAUCCGGAUUCACUGGGUUUAAAGGGUGUGUAGGCGGGUAGGUAAGUCAGUGGUGAAAUCUCAGAGCUUAACUCUGAAACUGCCAUUGAUACUAUUUAUCUUGAAUAUUGUGGAGGUAAGCGGAAUAUGUCAUGUAGCGGUGAAAUGCUUAGAUAUGACAUAGAACACCCAUUGCGAAGGCAGCUUACUACGCAUAUAUUGACGCUGAGGCACGAAAGCGUGGGGAUCAAACAGGAUUAGAUACCCUGGUAGUCCACGCCCUAAACGAUGGAUACUCGACAUACGCAAUACGCCGUGUGUGUCUGAGCGAAAGCAUUAGGUAUCCCACCUGGGAAGUACGACCGCAAGGUUGAAACUCAAAGGAAUUGGCGGGGGUCCGCACAAGCGGUGGAGCAUGUGGGUUUAAUUCGAUGAUACGCGAGGAACCUUACCUGGGCUAGAAUGCUGGGAGACUGUGGGUGAAAGCUCACUUUGUAGCAAUACACUGCCAGUAAAGGUGCUGCAUGGCUGUCGUCAGCUCGUGCCGUGAGGUGUUGGGUUAAGUCCCGCAACGAGCGCAACCCCUAUCUUUAGUUGCAACAGGGUAAUGCUGGGGACUCUAAAGAAACUGCCGUCGUAAGACGCGAGGAAAGGAGGGGAUGAUGUCAAGUCAUCAUUGGCCUUUUAUGCUCAAGGCUACACACGGUGCUACCAUGGGGAGGACAGAGGGCUUGCAACACAGUGAUGUGAAGGCUAAUCCAAAAACCUUCUUCUUCAGUUCGGGCCGGUAUCCUGCACUCGACUACGGUAAAGCUUGAAUUCGCUAGGUAAUCGAUAUCAGCCUACG